RNAcentral lists this ribosomal RNA (168 nucleotides) under Anaerolineales bacterium. RNAcentral's name for it is "partial 16S ribosomal RNA". It matches the Rfam family "Bacterial small subunit ribosomal RNA", at positions 1 to 167 of the family's 1533-position model. Lineage: Bacteria; Bacillati; Chloroflexota; Anaerolineae; Anaerolineales. The record is from RNAcentral.
UUUAUGGAGAGUUUGAUCCUGGCUCAGGAUGAACGCUAGCGGUGUGCCUAAUGCAUGCAAGUCGAACGGGACCCUUGGAUUCGUCUGAGGUGAGAGUGGCGAACGGGUGAGUAACACGUAGGUGACCUGCCCCGGAGAGGGGGACAACCACUGGAAACGGUGGCUAAU